AUGGGCAUUCGAGUCAGGUUCUGA
Molecule: non-coding RNA, 24 nt
Filed under: Arabidopsis thaliana (thale cress)
Lineage: Eukaryota; Viridiplantae; Streptophyta; Magnoliopsida; Brassicales; Brassicaceae
Source: RNAcentral